Non-coding RNA from Podarcis lilfordi (Lilford's wall lizard), 103 nucleotides. Lineage: Eukaryota; Metazoa; Chordata; Lepidosauria; Squamata; Lacertidae. The record is from the annotation of a GenBank genome assembly.
UGUUCAGUAGCACCUUAGAGACCAACUAAGUUUGUUCUGGGUAUAAGCUUUCGUGAGAACAAACCAGAACAAACUUAGUUGGUCUCUAAGGUGCUACUGGACA